This 764-nucleotide ribosomal RNA is filed under the name uncultured archaeon. RNAcentral describes it as "bacterial SSU rRNA". It matches the Rfam family "Archaeal small subunit ribosomal RNA", at positions 550 to 1311 of the family's 1478-position model. The record is from RNAcentral.
UCUGGUCGCUUAACGAUCAGACUUCCGGGGGAUACUGCUGAGCUAGGGACCGGGAGAGGCCGAGGGUAUUCCCGGGGUAGGGGUGAAAUCCUGUAAUCCCGGGAGGACCACCUGUGGCGAAGGCGCUCGGCUGGAACGGGUCCGACGGUGAGGGACGAAGGCCUGGGGAGCGAACCGGAUUAGAUACCCGGGUAGUCCAGGCUGUAAACGAUGCGGGCUAGGUGUCACCGGAGCUACGAGCUCCGGUGGUGCCGGAGGGAAGCCGUUAAGCCCGCCGCCUGGGAAGUACGGCCGCAAGGCUGAAACUUAAAGGAAUUGGCGGGGGAGCACUACAACGGGUGGAGCCUGCGGUUUAAUUGGAUUCAACGCCGGGAAGCUUACCGGGGGAGACAGCGGGAUGAAGGUCGGGCUGAAGACCUUACCAGACUAGCUGAGAGGUGGUGCAUGGCCGCCGUCAGUUCGUACUGUGAAGCAUCCUGUUAAGUCAGGCAACGAGCGAGACCCGCGCCCUCAGUUGCCAGCGGGUCCCUUCGGGGACGCCGGGCACACUGAGGGGACUGCCGGCGCUAAGCCGGAGGAAGGUGCGGGCAACGGCAGGUCCGUAUGCCCCGAAUCCCCCGGGCUACACGCGGGCUACAAUGGCCGGGACAAUGGGUACCGACCCCGAAAGGGGUGGGUAAUCUCCUAAACCCGGUCCAACCUGGGAUCGAGGGCUGCAACUCGCCCUCGUGAACCUGGAAUCCGUAGUAAUCGCGUCUCAAAAU